RNAcentral lists this transfer RNA (71 nucleotides) under Dipodomys ordii (Ord's kangaroo rat). It matches the Rfam family "tRNA". Rfam says of the family: Transfer RNA (tRNA) molecules are approximately 80 nucleotides in length. Their secondary structure includes four short double-helical elements and three loops (D, anti-codon, and T loops). The record is from Rfam by way of RNAcentral. Lineage: Eukaryota; Metazoa; Chordata; Mammalia; Rodentia; Heteromyidae.
GUGAGUGCAGCUCAAUGGUAGAGCACUUGCCUGGCAUGGGCAAGGCCCUGGGUUUGACCCCAGCAUUUCCU